CUGUUAAAGGUUAUUGUGUGUGCACACGUGUGUAGAUCAGAAGACAGUGCCUUCUUUUCUUCCCAUAUGGAAAGCUUUAUAGGCUUGAGAGCAAACGCCUUUGUUCACUAAGCUAUCUCAGCAGCCCGAUAAAAUAAUAAUCUUUGAUGAAAUAGAAAAAUAGGAAUGAUUUUGACAGUGCUUUCCUCCGUGGGUUUACUUUUCAUAACUGGGUAUUAAAAAUCACAGUGGCCCUAAGGGUGGUUCGGUUGGUAGAGUUGAGUGGGGCCCAGUCAGUACAGUGUUCGCUUCGUGUGCAUGAAGCCCUGGGUUCGACCCUCCACUGCCACAACGAAAGCAAAAAGACAAGACAAAAGCCAAGUUAUAAAGCAACAGCUAGACGUGGUGGCACACGCCCCUGAGCCCCGCACUUGCACUGCUGAGACGGAAGUUUUCCAUUUGAGAGUGGACAAGGCUGGCUGCACAGAGGGAGCUUAUCUUAAACAAAGAGUCAUCGAAAUCUGUGAGUGUAAUAUCAUUUUCCCAUCUUUGCUGAAAGAUCAUGUCUAAACAAAGUAAAGAGAAAGGAUGGUGACGACAA
RNAcentral lists this long non-coding RNA (580 nucleotides) under Rattus norvegicus (Norway rat). RNAcentral describes it as "long non-coding RNA NONRATT010461". Lineage: Eukaryota; Metazoa; Chordata; Mammalia; Rodentia; Muridae. The record is from RNAcentral.